RNAcentral lists this ribosomal RNA (923 nucleotides) under Psychromonas sp. RNAcentral's name for it is "bacterial SSU rRNA". It matches the Rfam family "Bacterial small subunit ribosomal RNA", at positions 556 to 1479 of the family's 1533-position model. Lineage: Bacteria; Pseudomonadati; Pseudomonadota; Gammaproteobacteria; Alteromonadales; Psychromonadaceae. The record is from RNAcentral.
GGGCGUAAGCGCGCGUAGGCGGUUAAUUAAGUCAGAUGUGAAAUCCCAGGGCUCAACCUUGGAACUGCAUUUGAAACUGGUUAACUAGAGUUUUGUAGAGGGUGGUAGAAUUUCAGGUGUAGCGGUGAAAUGCGUAGAGAUCUGAAGGAAUACCAGUGGCGAAGGCGGCCACCUGGACAAUAACUGACGCUGAGGCGCGAAGGCGUGGGGAGCAAACGGGAUUAGAUACCCCGGUAGUCCACGCAGUAAACGAUGUCUAUUAGAAUUUUGUGGCUAUAUGCCGUGGGAUUCAAAGCUAACGCAUUAAAUAGACCGCCUGGGGAGUACGGCCGCAAGGUUAAAACUCAAAUGAAUUGACGGGGGCCCGCACAAGCGGUGGAGCAUGUGGUUUAAUUCGAUGCAACGCGAAGAACCUUACCAUCCCUUGACAUCCAGAGAAUCACCAAGAGAUUGAUGAGUGCCUUCGGGAACUCUGAGACAGGUGCUGCAUGGCUGUCGUCAGCUCGUGUUGUGAAAUGUUGGGUUAAGUCCCGCAACGAGCGCAACCCUUAUCCUUAUUUGCCAGCGGGUUAUGCCGGGAACUCUAGGGACACUGCCGGUGAUAAACCGGAGGAAGGUGGGGACGACGUCAAGUCAUCAUGGCCCUUACGGGAUGGGCUACACACGUGCUACAAUGGCAAAUACAAAGGGCUGCUAACCAGCGAUGGUAUGCGAAUCUCCUAAAGUUUGUCGUAGUCCGGAUCGGAGUCUGCAACUCGACUCCGUGAAGUUGGAAUCGCUAGUAAUCGUGGAUCAGAAUGCCACGGUGAAUACGUUCCCGGGCCUUGUACACACCGCCCGUCACACCAUGGGAGUGGGCUGCACCAGAAGUCAUUAGCUUAACCUUCGGGAUGGCGAUGACCACGGUGUGGUUCAUGACUGGG